AACUGGAAAACGUUAGAGGAAUCAGUUCUAAACGUCGUACGAUACCGGUGUGGUACGUGAAAGUAAUUUUCUUCUAAGUUGUAAUAUUUUCGUACACGUUAUUUUUGUCUGAUCGUUGAUCGUUUUUCGUAUCGCGAAUGGUGUUGAAAAUUUUUUUAUCGUAUUGUGAUGUGAAAAUUUGCGCGUUUUUCCGUCAAAAUAAUAUUCCAUGUAGAAUUUUUUCAAAUAAUCUAUGAGGCGGUUUUCGUCGAUUUGUGUGUUGCGUUUUCGAUUUUUUUUUAAUGCAGUUUUUCGCAAUUAAUUUUUCUUUUAUUUUUUCACCGUGUUUUUUCCCCCUUAAUUCAUGUAUGAAGUAAUUUCGUGAUUAAAACCAUGGUUAAGUGUCGCAUAUGUAUCGUGCUAUGAAGUGAAUUUUUUUAUUUUUUUAAAGAUCGUUGUAUUAUUGUGUUGCGUUGGACUACCGAAGGUCCAUCAUGUCUCACGUAAUAGUGCUGUUUGUGUCGCUGAUAUUGGCCGGAUGGUGUUCGUCUUCAUUAUUUUUGGUUUCGGCUAAAUACCAUACACCGGAGUCAUGUACGUGGGAGGCGACCAAUAACGAAACGAGUAAAAUGGCUGUUACCUGUCGUCUGCGAACUUUGACAUCGGAAAGUACAACUUUAUCGUCGAUCCAGUCCGAGGGUACGGUGCGGCUGAAUCUCGAAUGUAACGAUAUGUUAUUUUUCGAGAGCGUCAUGACGCCGAAAAUAUUCCAUUUUUUACACCAGCUCGAAACGCUGUCGGUGACCAGUUGUAAAAUUUUGGAGCUACCGGUGGACGCGUUCGACGGUUUGAGGGAUUUGAAAAAGCUGAAUAUCCACACGCGGAAUCGGGAUUGGUCACCGGCCAAAAGUAUGGAGUUGGUUCCUGGCAGUUUCGAUGGUCUGAAGGAACUGCAGUCGCUGAAUUUAUCCGAUAACAAUAUCCAAUCGAUACCGGAAGAUGUGUUUUGUUCGCUGGUCAAUCUGCAGAGUUUGAAUUUAUCUCGAAAUAAUCUACGGUCGAUGGAAUCGUUGGGAUUGAUCGCCCGUCGUACGAGUUCCGAUCCCGAUCAGUCGACUAGAAUCGAGUGUAGCGGCGGCGCCGACAUCAAAACGCUCGAUUUAUCCGGUAAUCAUUUCAAAACGCUGAGGCAGUAUUCGGGAUUAACGAAAUUGCGUCGAUUACAAAACCUAUAUUUACAAGAUAACGAAUUAACCGAUAUAGCGGCCGAUUCUUUGACGUUUUUAACAUCGCUCCGGGUAUUAAACCUAUCGAAUAAUCAUUUGGAAAGCCUACCCGAAGGUUUAUUUUCCAAUAAUAAAGAAAUACGCGAAAUAUACUUACAAAACAACGGACUGUAUAUGUUAUCGAAUCGUUUAUUCAGCCGGCUCGAGCAAUUGGUUAUAUUGAAUUUAUCCAAUAAUAAAAUUAGCCAAAUUGACGAAGAUCCGUUCGUAGGUCUGAUUCGUUUAGUUGUGCUGGAUUUAUCGCGAAAUUCGCUCACUCACAUCAAGAGUAAAUUCUUCAAAGAUUUGUUAUUUUUACAAAUACUCGAUUUACGUAACAACAGUAUCGGUUUCAUCGAAGAUAACGCAUUUCUACCGUUGUACAAUUUGCAUACGUUGAAUUUAGCCGAAAACCGACUGCAUCAAAUAUCGGCUAAUUUAUUCAACGGUUUGUUCGUAUUGUCCAAGUUAACCCUGAGUAAUAAUUUAAUCGUCAACGUGCACGCUCAAGCUUUUAAAAAUUGUUCGGCGUUAAAAGAGCUCGAUAUGAGUUCGAAUGCUAUCAACGAAGUUCCGGUCGCGUUGACUGAAUUAUCAUUUCUGCGUACUUUGGAUCUCGGUGAAAAUCAAAUCAGCACUUUACGAAACGGUUCGUUUAAAAAUCUAGAACUGUUGACCGGUUUGCGUUUGGUCGACAACGGUAUUGGCAACUUGACCGAAGGUAUGUUCUGGGAUUUGCAGAAUUUACAAGUGUUGAAUUUAUCGAAAAAUAAAAUUCAACAUAUCGCUCACGGUACGUUUACUCGUAACGAACAAAUUCAAGCUAUACGUCUGGACGCUAACUUUUUAACCGAUAUCAACGGCGUGUUCGUAUCGUUGGCUAAUCUACUGUGGUUGAAUUUAUCCAACAAUCAUCUGGUGUGGUUCGAUUACGCGAUGGUUCCUCGUUCGUUGAAAUGGCUCGAUAUCCACGGUAACUACAUCGAGAACCUCGGCAACUACUACGGUCUUCAAGAAGAGCUAAAUAUUCAAACUCUGGACGCUAGUCAUAACCGUAUCAGCGAAGUUAGUGAUUUAUCGAUCCCGAACAGCGUCGAAUUGGUUUUCAUAAAUAAUAAUUUCAUCAACAACGUCAAAGUGAAUACAUUUCUGGAGAAAUCCAAUUUAGCCAGAGUAGACAUGUACGCUAACGAGAUCACCAAAUUGGACAUCAACGCUAUGCGACUGAAUCCAGUUCCGUCGAAUCGUUCGUUACCCGAAUUCUACAUCGGUGGAAAUCCGUUCGAUUGCGAUUGUUCGAUGGACUGGUUACCGUUGAUUAAUAACAUGACGCAGCUCCGUCAGCACCCCAAAGUGAUGGAUUUGGAGAACGUCAUGUGUAAAAUUUCGCAUUCUCGAGGCACACAGCUCGUCUCGGCGACCUCGGUGUCACCGGCUCAGUUUUUAUGCCGAUACGAAACUCAUUGUUUUACCGUCUGUAAAUGCUGCGAUUUCGACGCUUGCGAUUGCGAAAUGACUUGCCCUUCUAAUUGUACGUGUUAUCACGAUCAAACCUGGAAUACGAACGUGGUCGAUUGUUCGCGCCAAAGAAACGCUCAAGUACCGUCGCGUAUACCGAUGGAUGCUACGCACGUAUAUCUGGACGGAAACGAUUUUGGUGAACUUCAAGAUCACGUUUUCAUCGGUCGAAAAAAUAUGGUCAACUUGUAUCUGAACGAUAGCAAAAUAGAUUCGAUUCAGAAUUACACGUUUAACGGGCUAAACGCUCUGCAAGUGUUGCAUCUGGAGAACAAUCGACUAAAAGAAUUGAAAGGCUUCGAAUUCGAACAAUUGUCACAGUUGAAGGAAUUGUAUCUGCAGAAUAACGAGAUUUCAUUCAUCGGUAAUCUGACUUUUUUACCCCACAGAUAUCUACAGAUAUUACGCUUAGACGGUAACAAGCUGACGAAUUUUCCGGUUUGGCAGCUCCAGUUGAAUUCGUACUUGGUCGAGGUAUCGCUGGGUAAUAAUCGUUGGCAAUGCAAGUGUAAAUUUUUCCAAGAGUUUCGUGCCUGGGUCGUCGACAAUCGUCAUAAGGUACUCGAUCAUAAAGAUAUACCUUGCUAUAUUGACGAUGGUCACGUGGCCGAGAAAAGAUACGUCGAUAUGAACAACACCGUCUGCAACGAUUACAUGUCCAGUAGUUGGGCCCUGCACAGUUUAAUGGUAUCCGAUUAUUUCCCCGUCGUCGUGCUGCUCUUCUCCACCUUGGUCAUCUUCUUAGUCGUGCUCAUCAUCAUGUUCGUGUUUCGAGACCCGAUGCGAAUUUGGCUCUACACACGAUACGGUAUUCGUCUAUUUCAAUUCAAAGCAGCCACUGCCAAACAUUUCGAAGAAGAUCGAGAAAAAUUAUUCGACGGUUAUGUCGUCUAUAGCCCAAAAGACGAAGAAUUCGUACUACAAUCCAUCGUAGCCGAAUUAGAACACGGUAGCCCACCUUACCAUUUAUGUCUGCACUAUCGCGACUUACCACAUCACGGCGGUGUGACCAGUCCAUCGCCUUACCUUCAACAUGGCUCGGCUACGGUCGUAGUCGAGGCAGCAGCCGCUAGUCGUCGUGUCAUCUUAGUCCUGUCGAGGAACUUCCUGCAAACCGAAUGGUCCAGAUACGAAUUCCGUUCGGCCCUGCACGAGGCCCUUCGAGGGCGAAUGUUUAAACUGGUGCUGGUCGAAGACGGCGCCAUAUUACCAGAAGCUGAGCUCGACGGAGAGCUCAGACCGUACCUGAAAACCAACGCAAGGGUGCGUUGGGGCGAAAAACGUUUCUGGGAGAGGUUACGAUGCCUUAUGCCUCGCGAUUGCAAUAAAAAAACUUGCAAUUUGAAACGUAACGUUAAUAACUACACGUUAGAGUCGAUGUCGUCGAUAAGGUGUCAGAAUGGCGGAACACAUCAUCAUCGAGGGUACCCUCAGCCGCCUUCGCCGUCCGUUCAUCAACACAUUAAUAAUCACAUAUUCAAAGCGAGCGCUCCGCCGGAGUAUACCGUAUCCCGUACCAAUGCCAAAAUACAAAAUAAUUCUAGUUCGUCGGCCGGAUCCGGCUCCUGUUCGCAAGAAGAAGCCAAUUACUCGUCCGCAACGACAGCUACACCGUCGCCAAGACCACAUCAUCGGCAGGUCGCCUAUACCACGUCCGAAAGGCCCAACUCCGAUCAUAUUUAUUCAUCCAUCGAUACGCCCGAGUAUCUGGCUUCUUUCGAUAGAACCUCUACCACUGCCAGGCUUAACGAUAGUGCCAAUAUGCAUCAUUCGAAUUGGAGAAAUUCCCCUAAUGCUGUCGUAGACUCUGGUGGAGUUCAAGCGUAUCUCGUAUGAUCCUUUUAUAGAGAUUCGUGAUAUGUUUCAAGCACCAGUUUUAUUACUUUGGAUUCUCCAGAAGACUGCUUACCAAUAAACAGAUGUGAUAUAAUUGGAUAUAUUUCUGGCAAAUUUUUGUUGCACUCGAACACGGAUAAUUUAAACCAAAUUUUUUGUUUUGUUUUUAAUUUACACAUAAUCCUCGCAAAUAUUAAUUAUUAUAACGUCGAUCGUCUACUCGUAUCAGUAGUACCUUUACUCGUCGUAGCCAAAACAUGAAACACAAUUCUUUCAAAAUAGGGGCGUCUUCCAAAGUAUUCGUAUUGAAAUAUAAAAAAUUGUUACGUACAAUUUAACAUUGCGUUACGCAAGUUACCCAUUUUUUUUACGACUUCGUUAAUUUUUAUUUAUUAUUAUUUUAUUUCAUUUUUUUUUUUUUUGAAAAAAAAAACAUAAUUUGCUAUUCGAGCAAAAUAUUUGCGAGCAAAUUUUUCCUAUAUUAGAUUAAGUGUUAUGCAAUUACCGAACUGAUAAAAUUACCUUGUGAUAUGUAGCAUAAAAUACUUAUUGUUGUAAAUGAUUUUUAUUUAUUUGUAUUAUCGAACUUUAUCCUAUUUGCAUUUUCUAAUUCGUUGCAUUUUCGAUUUCCUUUAUAAUUUAUUUUUUUUUUGUUUGAUUGUUAUUUAUAUAGUGUAUUACUCGUGCCACGUACAUACGUAUUUUUUUUUCUUUUUGUAGAAUGUGCAACGCGUUCAUGCUAAUCAUUAUUAUUUGAACCGUCUUUCAUUUCUCGUUGGAUUUUUUUUUUAAGGGGCAGUCGCAGUGAAAUUUCUACUUGUACGGCUUGGAUGGUUUUUUAUGUUGCUCAUAACUUUCAUGCGUAUAGAUUUACAUUCAAACCACUAUUUUUACCACUAUGUUCGCUUUUGUUUAAUUCCAUCACGAGCGUUUAAGUCAUUGUGUUAAUUUUAAAAUAUGCUUAGUAGGCAAUAAGAUAGGUCAGAUGUGAAAUUUAUUGAAACGAUUUUUCGUGACUUGGCCAGUCGUUAUGUGCUUUAAUUGAUACGUUUGAAUGGACCAUACCGUACGUAAUUCUUUCCAAAUUACUAUACCAGUUAGAGAAAAAGUGCCUAUAACCUAUGAACUGUGUGUAACUUUUAUUUUCUUUUCGAUUGUUUUCUCAGGUUGGAAUUUUUUUGGCGGGAAUUUUAAAAUAAAUUGGUAAAUGUUUAGGAUUGAAAUUAGGUACGAAUAUAAAGUUUGUAGUCGACGAUGUAAAAAAAAAUCCUUUUGGAACUAAAAUAGGUAUAAUCAGAUUCGUGUGAUCAGAAUAAAUCCAUCUCGUUGACGAGUUUGUUGUGUUUUGAUUACUUUGAUAUUUUUAUUAACUCGAUUUAGGAGAGAGAAAAAACGACCAGAAUCUAGACCUAAUCGAUGAUUUGAUAAAAACGAUGUACCGAUUAAAAAAUUACACCGAAAGUGGGAAAGUUUUACGACGAACAAAUUUACUAGGUUUGAAUUGCAGAUGACUCUGGUGGGUUGAAAAUGCGAUAUAAAUUUUAGGAAAGCCUACAUCUGGCACGUUUAAUGGGAACGGAUACGACGAUAUAACGUUACAUUUUUGGUAACAUUGUAAUUAAAUUUGCAGCCGAGUUAGAAGCGUUAAGUUGAAAAUUGGGAUACAAUCGAAUAUAUUAGUUUUGGGUCGAGUUGUUCUAAUGUGUAUUCGCUCCGUAUGCAGACAAUUAUAACGACUGGUUGAUAACCUAUGGCAAAGUCACGAGAAAUAUUCGAUUUUUUGGCCAUUCAACUCGUAAUAUAUUCCACGCUGAUGGAUUCGUAAUUUUUACAAUCAUAAUGCAUUCUUUUAUGGCGAACCAUAUGUUACAUAUACCUACCUAAUAUGUAAUGAAUCGAAAUAUCUUCUUUUUCUAUCUCUAUCUGCCUUUUAUUAUUUUUUCGUUCCAAGUUCCUGCGGAAUAUAAAUACACUACCAUAAAAUUCUUCUGAUGGACCAUUUAUAAUAAACAAAAAAAAACCUGUUCAUUCUCUCGCGGUAAUUAGAUCAACGAUAUGUGGAUUCAUAUCGACAGAAUAUGUAUAACAUGUAAUGAUGUAUCAUUCAAAUCUCGGCUUAAAUGUUCCUAAUACCUGUAUUCGUCCAAAUUAAGUAGUUGUCCUAUCGGUCCUCUUGCCACGAGUCAUUUUUCAGUCUUAGUAUUUUACAUAUCGGAUUAAUUUAUCGAUAGAUACCGUCUGGCUGAGUUCAUUUUACUCCAUCUCUAUACCUAUUCAUCUUUUUGACUUAUAUAAUUCCAGUAGUGUAAUUCCAGUUCAUUUUUUUUCUACUUUGCAUUUCGUUUGUUUGUUUGUUUGUUCUUUCGUUUGUUUUUUAAUAUAUUUAUUUAAAUCGGUUUCCAACGAAUAAUUUUUUUUAUAGAUUACGGUUAUAUUAAGGCUAGUCAUUGACUUAUUUAUUUCUACGUGCUUAUUUUUUAUAUUUAUUCUCGAAUAUGUUUUUUUUCUCUUUUUGUACCUAUGUGUAUAGACGAAAAGAAUUGUAUAUGAAUUUGUAUAAAUGUAAAGCUUUGUAUUAUGCGAUGAAUUUUACAAAAUAAAACUAAUUUUUAUUUAUUA
This is an RNA transcript of Planococcus citri (citrus mealybug), 7217 nucleotides long. It is a transcript of the gene named toll-like receptor 7, with no coding region annotated. The record is from RefSeq and is a predicted model, not a curated record. Lineage: Eukaryota; Metazoa; Arthropoda; Insecta; Hemiptera; Pseudococcidae. The transcript has 3 exons.